RNAcentral lists this ribosomal RNA (2243 nucleotides) under Klebsiella aerogenes FGI35. RNAcentral's name for it is "bacterial LSU rRNA". It matches the Rfam family "Bacterial large subunit ribosomal RNA", at positions 601 to 2826 of the family's 2925-position model. Lineage: Bacteria; Pseudomonadati; Pseudomonadota; Gammaproteobacteria; Enterobacterales; Enterobacteriaceae. The record is from RNAcentral.
GUACCUUUUGUAUAAUGGGUCAGCGACUUAUAUUCUGUAGCAAGGUUAACCGUAUAGGGGAGCCGCAGGGAAACCGAGUCUUAACUGGGCGUUAAGUUGCAGGGUAUAGACCCGAAACCCGGUGAUCUAGCCAUGGGCAGGUUGAAGGUUGGGUAACACUAACUGGAGGACCGAACCGACUAAUGUUGAAAAAUUAGCGGAUGACUUGUGGCUGGGGGNGAAAGGCCAAUCAAACCGGGAGAUAGCUGGUUCUCCCCGAAAGCUAUUUAGGUAGCGCCUCGUGAAUUCAUCUUCGGGGGUAGAGCACUGUUUCGGCUAGGGGGUCAUCCCGACUUACCAACCCGAUGCAAACUACGAAUACCGAAGAAUGUUAUCACGGGAGACACACGGCGGGUGCUAACGUCCGUCGUGAAGAGGGAAACAACCCAGACCGCCAGCUAAGGUCCCAAAGUCACAGUUAAGUGGGAAACGAUGUGGGAAGGCACAGACAGCCAGGAUGUUGGCUUAGAAGCAGCCAUCAUUUAAAGAAAGCGUAAUAGCUCACUGGUCGAGUCGGCCUGCGCGGAAGAUGUAACGGGGCUAAACUGUGCACCGAAGCUGCGGCAGCGACACUAUGUGUUGUUGGGUAGGGGAGCGUUCUGUAAGCCUGCGAAGGUGGCCUGUGAGGGUUGCUGGAGGUAUCAGAAGUGCGAAUGCUGACAUAAGUAACGAUAAUGCGGGUGAAAAGCCCGCACGCCGGAAGACCAAGGGUUCCUGUCCAACGUUAAUCGGGGCAGGGUGAGUCGACCCCUAAGGCGAGGCCGAAAGGCGUAGUCGAUGGGAAACAGGUUAAUAUUCCUGUACUUGGUGUUACUGCGAAGGGGGGACGGAGAAGGCUAUGUUAGCCGGGCGACGGUUGUCCCGGUUUAAGCAUGUAGGCGGAGGUUCCAGGUAAAUCCGGUACCUUUUUAACGCUGAGGUGUGAUGACGAGGCACUACGGUGCUGAAGUAACAAAUGCCCUGCUUCCAGGAAAAGCCUCUAAGCAUCAGGUAACAUUGAAUCGUACCCCAAACCGACACAGGUGGUCAGGUAGAGAAUACCAAGGCGCUUGAGAGAACUCGGGUGAAGGAACUAGGCAAAAUGGUGCCGUAACUUCGGGAGAAGGCACGCUGAUAUGUAGGUGAAGUCCCUGCGGAUGGAGCUGAAAUCAGUCGAAGAUACCAGCUGGCUGCAACUGUUUAUUAAAAACACAGCACUGUGCAAACACGAAAGUGGACGUAUACGGUGUGACGCCUGCCCGGUGCCGGAAGGUUAAUUGAUGGGGUUAUCCGUAAGGAGAAGCUCUUGAUCGAAGCCCCGGUAAACGGCGGCCGUAACUAUAACGGUCCUAAGGUAGCGAAAUUCCUUGUCGGGUAAGUUCCGACCUGCACGAAUGGCGUAAUGAUGGCCAGGCUGUCUCCACCCGAGACUCAGUGAAAUUGAACUCGCUGUGAAGAUGCAGUGUACCCGCGGCAAGACGGAAAGACCCCGUGAACCUUUACUAUAGCUUGACACUGAACAUUGAGCCUUGAUGUGUAGGAUAGGUGGGAGGCUUUGAAGCGUGGACGCCAGUCUGCGUGGAGCCAACCUUGAAAUACCACCCUUUAAUGUUUGAUGUUCUAACGUUGGCCCCUNANCGGGGUUGCGGACAGUGUCUGGUGGGUAGUUUGACUGGGGCGGUCUCCUCCCAAAGAGUAACGGAGGAGCACGAAGGUUAGCUAAUCCUGGUCGGACAUCAGGAGGUUAGUGCAAUGGCAUAAGCUAGCUUGACUGCGAGCGUGACGGCGCGAGCAGGUGCGAAAGCAGGUCAUAGUGAUCCGGUGGUUCUGAAUGGAAGGGCCAUCGCUCAACGGAUAAAAGGUACUCCGGGGAUAACAGGCUGAUACCGCCCAAGAGUUCAUAUCGACGGCGGUGUUUGGCACCUCGAUGUCGGCUCAUCACAUCCUGGGGCUGAAGUAGGUCCCAAGGGUAUGGCUGUUCGCCAUUUAAAGUGGUACGCGAGCUGGGUUUAGAACGUCGUGAGACAGUUCGGUCCCUAUCUGCCGUGGGCGCUGGAGAAUUGAGGGGGGCUGCUCCUAGUACGAGAGGACCGGAGUGGACGCAUCACUGGUGUUCGGGUUGUCAUGCCAAUGGCAUUGCCCGGUAGCUAAAUGCGGAAGAGAUAAGUGCUGAAAGCAUCUAAGCACGAAACUUGCCCCGAGAUGAGUUCUCCCUGACUCCUUGA